Molecule: long non-coding RNA, 204 nt
Filed under: Elaeis guineensis (African oil palm)
Lineage: Eukaryota; Viridiplantae; Streptophyta; Magnoliopsida; Arecales; Arecaceae
Description: long non-coding RNA (EGUI_LNC002118)
Source: RNAcentral
AUAAUUAGACAACAAAGAAUGGUCCAAAGAGGACAAGAAUGAUGAUUAAGAAUUGAUUGCUCUUGCCCAUAUAAAAGUACAAAAAGUAGUUAUUAUCAAAGCAUGCUACUGCAAUGUUUGACCAUUGUUCGACUUGUUCUCAACAUAUUUGCGUAGGCAUGUAAACAAGCAAUGUCUUCUUGCCUUGAUCACAUAGGGGGAGAC